RNAcentral lists this ribosomal RNA (181 nucleotides) under uncultured soil bacterium. Its description in RNAcentral is "partial 16S ribosomal RNA". It matches the Rfam family "Bacterial small subunit ribosomal RNA", at positions 400 to 573 of the family's 1533-position model. The record is from RNAcentral.
CGUGUAUGAAGAAGGCCUUCGGGUUGUAAAGUACUUUCAGCGGGGAGGAAGGUGUUGUGGUUAAUAACCACAGCAAUUGACGUUACCCGCAGAAGAAGCACCGGCUAACUCCGUGCCAGCAGCCGCGGUAAUACGGAGGGUGCAAGCGUUAAUCGGAAUUACUGGGCGUAAAGCGCACGCA